Molecule: ribosomal RNA, 253 nt
Filed under: uncultured bacterium
Lineage: Bacteria
Description: partial 16S ribosomal RNA
Rfam family: Bacterial small subunit ribosomal RNA
Source: RNAcentral
UACGGGGGGGGCAAGCGUUGUUCGGAAUUACUGGGCGUAAAGGGCGCGUAGGCGGUCUGCUAAGCGUGUGGUGAAAGCUCGGGGCUCAACCCCGAGUCUGCCAUGCGAACUGGUGGACUUGAGCACUGUAGAGGCAGGUGGAAUUCCGGGUGUAGCGGUGGAAUGCGUAGAGAUCCGGAAGAACACCAGUGGCGAAGGCGGCCUGCUGGGCAGUUGCUGACGCUAAAGCGCGACAGCGUGGGGAGCAAACAGG